AAACUACGCCUGCAUGAAGCUGGAAUUGCUAGUAAUCAUAGGUCAGCAUACUAUGGUGAAUACGUUCCCGGGCCUUGUACACACCGCCCGUCACACCAUGAGAGUUGAGAAUACCCGAAGUCCAUGUCAAAGUGGCCGAAGGUAGGCUUGAUGAUUGGGGUGAAGUCGUAACAAGGUAAC
RNAcentral lists this ribosomal RNA (180 nucleotides) under uncultured bacterium. Its description in RNAcentral is "partial 16S ribosomal RNA". It matches the Rfam family "Bacterial small subunit ribosomal RNA", at positions 1307 to 1500 of the family's 1533-position model. The record is from RNAcentral.